ACGCUCGACACCUACGGGAAGCAGCAGUGGGGGAUAUUGCACAAUGGGGGAAACCCUGAUGCAGCAACGCCGCGUGAAGGAUGAAGGUUUUCGGAUUGUAAACUUCUGUUCUUAGUGACGAUAAUGACGGUAGCUAAGAAGAAAGCUCCGGCUAACUACGUGCCAACAGCCGCGGUAAUCUGAGCGGGCUGGCAAGGC
RNAcentral lists this ribosomal RNA (198 nucleotides) under uncultured bacterium. RNAcentral describes it as "partial 16S ribosomal RNA". It matches the Rfam family "Bacterial small subunit ribosomal RNA", at positions 326 to 539 of the family's 1533-position model. The record is from RNAcentral.